GACGAACGCUGGCGGCGUGCUUAACACAUGCAAGUCGAACGGAAAGGCCCUGCUUUUGUGGGGUGCUCGAGUGGCGAACGGGUGAGUAACACGUGAGUAACCUGCCCUUGACUUUGGGAUAACUUCAGGAAACUGGGGCUAAUACCGGAUAGGAGCUCCUGCUGCAUGGUGGGGGUUGGAAAGUUUCGGCGGUUGGGGAUGGACUCGCGGCUUAUCAGCUUGUUGGUGGGGUAGUGGCUUACCAAGGCUUUGACGGGUAGCCGGCCUGAGAGGGUGACCGGCCACAUUGGGACUUAGAUACGGCCCAGACUCCUACGGGAGACAGCAGUGGGGAAUAUUGCACAAUGGGCGGAAGCCUGAUGCAGCAACGCCGCGUGCGGGAUGACGGCCUUCGGGUUGUAAACCGCUUUCGCCUGUGACGAAGCGUGAGUGACGGUAAUGGGUAAAGAAGCACCGGCUAACUACGUG
Molecule: ribosomal RNA, 468 nt
Filed under: uncultured bacterium
Lineage: Bacteria
Description: partial 16S ribosomal RNA
Rfam family: Bacterial small subunit ribosomal RNA
Source: RNAcentral